AGCAGGAGGAGCGUGCCAAGCAGCAGGGAGAUCAUUCGCUGAAGGAACAUGAGCUCUUGGAGCAGCAGAAGCGGGUAAUACCCCUCCCCCUAACCUUUGACCUCGUGGUCCAGUCCGUUGGCUGUCAUUUAUAGUGCUUAGAGUGCACCAUUCAAGUUUUCCCUGGAGGCUACUUUGUUCUCAACUAAGUUCUAGUAUCUUCCAAAGCUUUCAAUUUUUCUUGAAGUUCAGGAAUUGACAAACUAUGACCUGUGGCCUGCAUGUGUAUGGCCUGUGAGCUAAAAAUAACUUUAAAAUUUUUUAAGGGUUAUAAGAAAACCCAAACCAAA
Molecule: small RNA, 329 nt
Filed under: Pan troglodytes (chimpanzee)
Lineage: Eukaryota; Metazoa; Chordata; Mammalia; Primates; Hominidae
Description: retained intron
Source: RNAcentral